GACGUAGGGCGCGAGCGUUGUCCGGAAUUAUUGGGCGUAAAGAGCUCGUAGGCGGCUUGUCGCGUCGACUGUGAAAACCUGCAGCUCAACUGUGGGCUUGCAGUCGAUACGGGCAGGCUAGAGUUCGGUAGGGGAGACUGGAAUUCCUGGUGUAGCGGUGAAAAUGCGCAGAUAUCAGGAGGAACACCGGUGGCGAAGGCGGGUCUCUGGGCCGAUACUGACGCUGAGGAGCGAAAGCGUGGGGGAGCGAACAGGA
This 256-nucleotide ribosomal RNA is filed under the name uncultured bacterium. RNAcentral's name for it is "partial 16S ribosomal RNA". It matches the Rfam family "Bacterial small subunit ribosomal RNA", at positions 524 to 777 of the family's 1533-position model. The record is from RNAcentral.